RNAcentral lists this small nuclear RNA (109 nucleotides) under Procavia capensis (Cape rock hyrax). The record is from RNAcentral. Lineage: Eukaryota; Metazoa; Chordata; Mammalia; Hyracoidea; Procaviidae.
GUGCUCACUCCAGCAGUGCAUAUACUAAAACAGAAACAAUACAGAGAAAGAUUAGCAUGCUCUCUGCCACAAGGAUUACAAAGAAAUUCUUGAAGCAUUCCACAAUUUU